Long non-coding RNA from Pipra filicauda (Wire-tailed manakin), 2412 nucleotides. RefSeq lists it as uncharacterized. NCBI's taxonomy places the organism in Eukaryota, Metazoa, Chordata, Aves, Passeriformes, Pipridae. The record is from RefSeq and is a predicted model, not a curated record. The transcript is spliced from 2 exons.
UCCAGGCUAGAAGGAUCCUAUGUUAGAAGUGUUGUUUGGUAGUAGGGAGAAAGCAAUGGUUGUUAAAACCAGUCAGAGGUUUUUGGAAGAGCAGAUUUUGGUGGGGAAUAUCCAGGGUACAUUGGACAUUCCCUUUCCCACUGCAGAUCCUGAAUGGGAUCCUAACAUCCCUAUUUUUAGAGAAAGGUUCAAUAGAUACCUGCAGUGGAUGUUGUCUGCAAUGAAACAUGCCAGGCCAAAGGCAAUGAACACGUCAAAAUUCUCUGCAAUGAAGCAGGAUCACAGGGAAUAGCCUACUGAAUUUUUAAAUCCUCUGGAAGAAACAGCACAAAAAUAUACUAAUAUCCAUCCUGGAACACAGGGGGGAAGGACUCAACUGGCCCCCAUAUUUGUGGGGCAGUCCUCAGAUGUGGUUAGGAGGGAAUGACAAAAAGCUGAGGGACAAGAUCAGUCUAAUUUGGGGACACUGUUGGAGGUUGGGAGAAUCAGCAGGAAUCAACUCAGCAGGAAGGAGUUGCAGUUCUGGAAGAAAUCCCUGAGGAAAUGGUGCCCCCGGGGAGAGGAAGAGGAUGAGAGCAUGGGCAGCCUGCUUCAAACACCCCCCCCCAGGAGACUUGGGAUCAAUCCCUGUGCAUCCUGUAAGAAAGAUGGACACUGGAAAUGGGAUUGUCCACAACUGAAACUUCAGAACCCUCCCAACCCUCUCCUGGCAUCACUGCAGACGACUGAGGGGGCACCAGAGGAUUCUUCCCCAUCAGAACAUCUGGUUCCAGCCAAGCUAAGUACAAUUGGUUGUGGCUGUGGGAACUUGUUCCCCUGUCUUAAAUAAGGGAAAAUGAAACUCAAGUCACAAUUCUGGAACAAUUGUCUGGUGUGCCAGGGAAUUGGGAAACUGGGCCAUUUUUAAUGCUGUGGAUUUGAAAUUGGGAAAACAGUGGUUGGCUCCCCAGUGUUUGUAUUUCCCCAAUUCCCCAAAGCCUCUGCCUGGGAGAGAUCUCUUGGCAAAAUUAAAUGCCACAAUCCAAUUUAAAAAUGGUCAAAUAUAGGUUAUUAUUGCAGAGCCUAAUUCUGUGGAAGGUUCUAGUUUUGCAUGAGAGUCUCCAAAAGCAGAACUAAUCCAUCUGCCAACGUCACUUGGGGAUGCAGUGAUUCCAGUAGGAUGGGCUGGAGAGGUGCCUCCAUGAUCCAAAAGAGCAGAACCUGUGAGAAUUCCAGUGAAACCUGGAGUGGGGUUGGUCAGGCCAAAGCAAUAGCCUUUGAAAAUGGAAAGUUGUGAGGGAUUCUCACUCUCUGUAGAAAAACUGAUGAAAUUUUGCUUGUUAAAAGAAUGUGAAUCUAAAUGUAAUGCUCCAAUUUUGCCAGUCAAGCAGGCAAAUGGAAGGCUAUGCCAGUUAGUCCAAGACCUCAGAGCUAUAAAUGAUAGAGUAGAAGAUAUACAAGCAGUUGUAGCGAAUCCUUACACUUUGCUAACUCCCCUAAAUGAAAGUUUAAUGUUUCACAGGAUUAGAUUUGAAAGCUGCCUUUUUCUGUCUCCCUUUGAGUUGUGAAAGUCAAGAGCUUUUUGCUUUCAGAUGGGAAAAUCCAAAGACAGGGAGGAAAACCCAGCUGACUUUGGUGGUCCUCCUGCAGGGGUUUAAAAAUAUCCCCCCAGUAUUUGGAACUCAAUUGGCAAAGGAACUGGAGGAAUGGAAAAGUCAAAACCCUCUUGGAGCCUUGUUCCAGUGUGUGGAUAUUUUGACAGCCACUGAUGCUGAGCAGCAAUGUUGGGAUCAGACACUAUGGAAUUUCCUUGGACUGGGUGGAUAUGGGGUGUCCCAAACACAAAGUGCAAGUAGUCCAGACCCCAGGAGCCUCCCUGGGCUUUGGAAUUCUCCAAGGACAAGGGAGGCUGGGCCAGGAACAAAAGAAGCAACCUGUCAACUGCCCCAGCCCCAGCAAAGGAAGCCCAGAGCGGGAUUGCUUCCAGACUAGAGGAGAAGUGUAUUUGGGCAGAGCUGACUCAGGAGACAGCCCCUGGGAAAGUCCUGGUUGGGAAUUGUUUCCCAGUGGGGGCAGCUUUGUCCAGCAUGGAAAACAAUUCUCUGGAUGCACAGGAACUCCCCCCAGCAGGUCAUGGAAUUGGGGGCACUCCUCUGCAGUGCCUCAGCCCAGAAAGCAGAACCAAUUGUGCUCACUCCAGCUUUGGGAUUGAGUCAAGGAGAACAAGUUAAUCCUUGGACUUGCUUGAAGAUCUCCAGAAACCAACAGAGGCUGCUGUCCUGCAUUGCAGAGUGCACCAAGAGGGGGAGACCAAAGCAGAACUGGGGAAUCAUUUGGCCCAUAAUUCUUCCAAAGAGGCUGCAGAAAAAGGCACUUUAGAGAGUAAAGUUUUGUCUUUAAUAACCCUGACAGAGAUACCUCUCCCAGUAGAAA